RNAcentral lists this ribosomal RNA (253 nucleotides) under uncultured bacterium. RNAcentral describes it as "partial 16S ribosomal RNA". It matches the Rfam family "Bacterial small subunit ribosomal RNA", at positions 524 to 776 of the family's 1533-position model. The record is from RNAcentral.
UACGAAGGGGGCUAGCGUUGCUCGGAAUCACUGGGCGUAAAGCGCACGUAGGCGGAUUGCUAAGUCAGGGGUGAAAUCCUGGAGCUCAACUCCAGAACUGCCUUUGAUACUGAGGAUCUUGAGUUCGGGAGAGGUGAGUGGAACUGCGGGUGUAGAGGUGAAAUUCGUAGAUAUUCGCAAGAACACCAGUGGCGAAGGCGGCUCACUGGCCCGAUACUGACGCUGAGGCACGAAAGCGUGGGGAGCAAACAGG